This is a non-coding RNA of Myodes glareolus (Bank vole), 613 nucleotides long. The record is from RefSeq and is a predicted model, not a curated record. NCBI's taxonomy places the organism in Eukaryota, Metazoa, Chordata, Mammalia, Rodentia, Cricetidae.
CCUGGAGUAGUGAAGUUUUUGAGACUCGAUGCUCACACCUCGUGAGUGUGGUAUACCUUGGAGCCUCAUAGCCAGCGUCCCUUCUGAAACCGUAGCUGAUGCUGAGACAACGUGGAACCCCCUGGAGAUCUGCUGAAGGUCUGUGAGGUCACCUGCAGCCACCGAGGAGCUUCUUGUGGUCUUGGCUUUUACCUCGAGGUUUGUGGCCAAGCAUAGAGAGGCAGCUUUCACCUUCAAUGAAGGCAUCUGGGGCUUAGCCAGGAUCGAUCUGUGCUCGACUCCCUGUCUGCCAAACAACCUUGGAAUCCAUUGUGGAUGGACUAGAGCAGGGUUCAUGGAGAAGAUGCUACUGCCUGCCACAGGUUGCGUGACACUAGCAGUUUAUUCUCCCUCUGAAACUCAGCCUUCAGGACCGGAGAGAUGGCUCAGCGUUUAAGAGCACUGGCUGUUCUUCCAGAGGUCCUGAGUUCAAUUCCUAGGAAACACAUUGUGCCUCACAACCAUCGGUAAUGGGAUCUGAUUCCCUCUGCUGGUGUGUUCGAAAACAAGACAGGUCACUCAUACAUAAAAUAAAUAUUAAAAAAAUAAUAAUAAACACUUGAUCUCCUUGUCA